CACGUAGGGACCAAGCGUUGUCCGGAUUUAUUGGGCGUAAAGAGCUCGUAGGCGGUUCGGUAAGUCGGGUGUGAAAACUCUGGGCUCAACUCAGAGAUGCCACCCGAUACUGCCGUGACUUGAGUCCGGUAGGGGAGCACGGAAUUCCUGGUGUAGCGGUGAAAUGCGCAGAUAUCAGGAGGAACACCGGUGGCGAAGGCGGUGCUCUGGGCCGGUACUGACGCUGAGGAGCGAAAGCGUGGGGAGCGAACAGG
Molecule: ribosomal RNA, 254 nt
Filed under: uncultured bacterium
Lineage: Bacteria
Description: partial 16S ribosomal RNA
Rfam family: Bacterial small subunit ribosomal RNA
Source: RNAcentral